RNAcentral lists this small RNA (37 nucleotides) under Haematospirillum jordaniae. RNAcentral's name for it is "abiF RNA". It matches the Rfam family "abiF RNA". Lineage: Bacteria; Pseudomonadati; Pseudomonadota; Alphaproteobacteria; Rhodospirillales; Novispirillaceae. The record is from Rfam by way of RNAcentral.
CCCCCCACGCCUCUCGAAGACGCGCACCAUGGGGGGU